GCGCCCGUAGCUCAGUGGACAGAGCGACGGCCUUCUAAGCCGUUGGUCGGAGGUUCGAAUCCUCCCGGGCGCACUA
This 76-nucleotide transfer RNA is filed under the name Actinomycetes bacterium. RNAcentral's name for it is "Actinobacteria bacterium tRNA-Arg". It matches the Rfam family "tRNA". Rfam says of the family: Transfer RNA (tRNA) molecules are approximately 80 nucleotides in length. Their secondary structure includes four short double-helical elements and three loops (D, anti-codon, and T loops). Further hydrogen bonds mediate the characteristic L-shaped molecular structure. tRNAs have two regions of fundamental functional importance: the anti-codon, which is responsible for specific mRNA codon recognition, and the 3' end, to which the tRNAs corresponding amino acid is attached (by aminoacyl-tRNA synthetases). tRNAs cope with the degeneracy of the genetic code in two manners: having more than one tRNA (with a specific anti-codon) for a particular amino acid; and 'wobble' base-pairing, i.e. permitting non-standard base-pairing at the 3rd anti-codon position. The record is from RNAcentral. Lineage: Bacteria; Bacillati; Actinomycetota; Actinomycetes.